UGCAAGUCGUGCGAGAAAGUCCCUUCGGGGGCGAGUAAAGCGGCGCACGGGUGAGUAACACGUGGGCAACCUGCCCUUGAGUCUGGGAUAACCCGGGGAAACUCGGGCUAAUACCGGAUACGGCCGUAAGGUCUUCGGAUCUCGCGGAGAAAGAUGGCCUCUGCUUGCAAGCUAUCUCUCGAGGAUGGGCCCGCGUCCUAUCAGCUAGUUGGUGAGGUAACGGCUCACCAAGGCAAAGACGGGUAGCUGGUCUGAGAGGAUGACCAGCCACACUGGAACUGAGAUACGGUCCAGACUCCUACGGGAGGCAGCAGUAGGGAAUUUUGGGCAAUGGGCGAAAGCCUGACCCAGCAACGCCGCGUGUGGGAUGAAGGCCCUCGGGUCGUAAACCACUGUCAGGAGGAAAGAAAAGCCGGACGGAUAAUACCCGGACGGCCUGACGGUACCUCCAAAGGAAGCACCGGCUAACUCCGUGCCAGCAGCCGCGGUAAUACGGAGGGUGCAAGCGUUGUUCGGAAUUACUGGGCGUAAAGCGCGUGUAGGUGGUUCGGUAAGUCGAAUGUGAAAGCCCCGGGCUCAACCCGGGAAGUGCAUCCGAAACUGCCGAACUAGAGUCCCGGAGAGGAAGGCAGAAUUCCCAAUGUAGGGGUGAAAUCCGUAGAUAUUGGGAGGAAUACCGGUGGCGAAGGCGGCCUUCUGGACGGUGACUGACACUCAGACGCGAAAGCGUGGGGAGCAAACAGGAUUAGAUACCCUGGUAGUCCACGCCGUAAACGUUGCGAACUAGGUGUCGGGGGUAUUCACCCCUCCGGUGCCGAAGCUAACGUCUUAAGUUCGCCGCCUGGGAAGUACGGCCGCAAGGCUAAAACUCAAAG
This 875-nucleotide ribosomal RNA is filed under the name uncultured soil bacterium. RNAcentral describes it as "bacterial SSU rRNA". It matches the Rfam family "Bacterial small subunit ribosomal RNA", at positions 56 to 906 of the family's 1533-position model. The record is from RNAcentral.